Molecule: ribosomal RNA, 470 nt
Filed under: uncultured bacterium
Lineage: Bacteria
Description: bacterial SSU rRNA
Rfam family: Bacterial small subunit ribosomal RNA
Source: RNAcentral
UGGGGAAUUUUGGACAAUGGGCGAAAGCCUGACGCAGCAACGCCGCGUGAGGGAAGAAGGCUUUCGGGUUGUAAACCUCUUUCAGGAGGGACGAAGCUUCCGGGGUUAAUAGCCUACGGGGUGACGGUACCUCCAGAAGAAGCCCCGGCUAACUACGUGCCAGCAGCCGCGGUAAUACGUAGGGGGCAAGCGUUGUCCGGAAUCAUUGGGCGUAAAGCGCGUGUAGGUGGCUUGGUAAGUCCGGUGUGAAACCUUGGGGCUCAACCCCAAGCCUGCAUCGGAUACUGCCUCGCUCGAGUUCGGAGGGGAGAGCGGAAUUCCUAGUGUAGCGGUGAAAUGCGCAGAUAUUAGGAAGAACACCGGUGGCGAAGGCGGCUCUCUGGAACGAUACUGACACUGAGACGCGAAAGCGUGGGUAGCGAACAGGAUUAGAUACCCCCGUAGUCCCUGAGCGGGCUGGCAAGGCGCAU